Molecule: ribosomal RNA, 400 nt
Filed under: uncultured bacterium
Lineage: Bacteria
Description: bacterial SSU rRNA
Rfam family: Bacterial small subunit ribosomal RNA
Source: RNAcentral
GGAAUAUUGGGCAAUGGAGGCAACUCUGACCCAGCAACGCCGCGUGAACGAUGAAGGGCUUCGGCUUGUAAAGUUCUUUUCUAAGGGAAGAAGAAAGUGGCGGUACCUUAGGAAUAAGCCUCGGCUAACUACGUGCCAGCAGCCGCGGUAAGACGUAGGAGGCAAGCGUUAUCCGGAAUGACUGGGCGUAAAGGGUGGGUAGGUGGUUUGACAAGUUGGUAGCGUAACUCCGGAGCUCAACUUCGGAACUACUACCAAAACUGUUGGACUCGAGUGCAGGAGGGGCAACUGGAAUUUCUAGUGUAGCGGUGGAAUGCGUAGAUAUUAGGAAGAACACCGGUGGCGAAGGCGAGUUGCUGGACUGUAACUGACACUGAGGCACGAAAGCGUGGGGAGCAAA